This 909-nucleotide ribosomal RNA is filed under the name uncultured bacterium. RNAcentral's name for it is "bacterial SSU rRNA". It matches the Rfam family "Bacterial small subunit ribosomal RNA", at positions 458 to 1368 of the family's 1533-position model. The record is from RNAcentral.
CCACCCUGGUGCUGACGGUACCUAAAGAAUAAGCACCGGCUAACUACGUGCCAGCAGCCGCGGUAAUACGUAGGGUGCGAGCGUUAAUCGGAAUUACUGGGCGUAAAGCGAGCGCAGACGGUUAAUUAAGUCAGAUGUGAAAUCCCCGAGCUCAACUUGGGACGUGCAUUUGAAACUGGUUAACUAGAGUGUGUCAGAGGGAGGUAGAAUUCCACGUGUAGCAGUGAAAUGCGUAGAGAUGUGGAGGAAUACCGAUGGCGAAGGCAGCCUCCUGGGAUAACACUGACGUUCAUGCUCGAAAGCGUGGGUAGCAAACAGGAUUAGAUACCCUGGUAGUCCACGCCCUAAACGAUGACAAUUAGCUGUUGGGACACUAGAUGUUUUAGUAGCGAAGCUAACGCGUGAAAUUGUCCGCCUGGGGAGUACGGUCGCAAGAUUAAAACUCAAAGGAAUUGACGGGGACCCGCACAAGCGGUGGAUGAUGUGGAUUAAUUCGAUGCAACGCGAAGAACCUUACCUGGUCUUGACACGUACGGAAUCUCUUAGAGAUAGGAGAGUGCCUUCGGGAGCCGUAACACAGGUGCUGCAUGGCUGUCGUCAGCUCGUGUCGUGAGAUGUUGGGUUAAGUCCCGCAACGAGCGCAACCCUUGUCAUUAGUUGCCAUCAUUAAGUUGGGCACUCUAAUGAGACUGCCGGUGACAAACCGGAGGAAGGUGGGGAUGACGUCAAGUCCUCAUGGCCCUUAUGACCAGGGCUUCACACGUCAUACAAUGGUCGGUACAGAGGGUAGCGAAGCCGCGAGGUGAAGCCAAUCUCAGAAAGCCGAUCGUAGUCCGGAUUGCACUCUGCAACUCGAGUGCAUGAAGUCGGAAUCGCUAGUAAUCGCAGGUCAGCAUACUGCGGUGAAUA